UGGGUUUGACAUAUUCAGGACCGGUGUGGAAACACACCUUCCCUUCGGGGCCUGUUUACAGAUGCUGCAUGGCUGUCGUCAGCUCGUGCCGUGAGGUGUUCGGUUAAGUCCGGCAACGGGCGCAACCCGUGUCGUCAGUUGCCAGCAGGUAACGCUGGGGACUCUGGCGAGACUGCCCGUGUCAAGCGGGAGGAAGGCGCGGAUGACGUCAAGUCCGUAUGGCUCUUACAUCCAGGGCUGCACACGUGCUACAAUGGACGGUACAAUGAGAUGCGAAGUCGCGAGGCGGAGCAAAUCUCCAAAGCCGUCCCCAGUUCGGAUCGGAGUCUGCAAUUUGACUCCGUGAAGU
This 349-nucleotide ribosomal RNA is filed under the name uncultured bacterium. Its description in RNAcentral is "bacterial SSU rRNA". It matches the Rfam family "Bacterial small subunit ribosomal RNA", at positions 976 to 1326 of the family's 1533-position model. The record is from RNAcentral.